Molecule: ribosomal RNA, 466 nt
Filed under: uncultured bacterium
Lineage: Bacteria
Description: partial 16S ribosomal RNA
Rfam family: Bacterial small subunit ribosomal RNA
Source: RNAcentral
GAUGAACGCUGGCGGCGUGCUUAACACAUGCAAGUCGAACGAUGAAGCCCAGCUUGCUGGGUGGAUUAGUGGCGAACGGGUGAGUAACACGUGAGUAACCUGCCCUUAACUCUGGGAUAAGCCUGGGAAACUGGGUCUAAUACCGGAUAGGAGCGCCUACCGCAUGGUGGGUGUUGGAAAGAUUUAUCGGUUUUGGAUGGACUCGCGGCCUAUCAGCUUGUUUGUGAGGUAAUGGCUCACCAAGGCGACGACGGGUAGCCGGCCUGAGAGGGUGACCGGCCACACUGGGACUGAGACACGGCCCAGACUCCUACGGGAGGCAGCAGUGGGGAAUAUUGCACAAUGGGCGAAAGCCUGAUGCAGCGACGCCGCGUGAGGGAUGACGGCCUUCGGGUUGUAAACCUCUUUCAGUAGGGAAGAAGCGAAAGUGACGGUACCUGCAGAAGAAGCACCGGCUAACUACGUG